CCUACGGGAGGCAGCAGUAGGGAAUAUUGCUCAAUGGGGGCAACCCUGAAGCAGCAACGCCGCGUGGAGGAUGAAGGUUCUCGGAUUGUAAACUCCUUUUGUUAGAGGAGAUAGUGACGGUAUGUAACGAAUAAGCACCGGCUAACGCCGUGCCAGCAGCGGCGGUAAUACGGAGGGUGCAAGCGUUACUCGGAAUCACUGGGCGGAAAGAGCGCGUAGGCGGGAUAGCAAGGCAGAUGUGAAAACCUAGGGGUUAACCAUAGGACUGCAUUUGAAACUGCUAUUCUAGAGUAUGGGAGAGGUAGGUGGAAUGCUUGGUGUAGCGGUGAAAUGCGUAGAGAUCAAGAGGAAUACUCAUUGCGAAGGCGACCUGCUAGAGCAUAACUGACGCUGAGGCGCGAAAGCGUGGGGAGCAAACAGGAUUAGAUACCCUUGUAGUC
Molecule: ribosomal RNA, 440 nt
Filed under: uncultured bacterium
Lineage: Bacteria
Description: partial 16S ribosomal RNA
Rfam family: Bacterial small subunit ribosomal RNA
Source: RNAcentral